Non-coding RNA from Chrysemys picta bellii (western painted turtle), 327 nucleotides. NCBI's taxonomy places the organism in Eukaryota, Metazoa, Chordata, Testudines, Emydidae. The record is from RefSeq and is a predicted model, not a curated record.
UUAGACUUCUGGAAAAAUUACCUUGUGUGGAUAGUAAUGACCGCACGUUUCCGAUUGCCUGCUGGCAGAACCUACAAUGUACGAGCGUCUGAGCUGGCACGAGACAGACAACAUACAGAGGUGGUCUGCAAUAUUCUUCUCCUGGAUAACACUGUACAAGCUUUCAGAGUUCAUAAAAACGAUCAGGGACAAGUUUUGUUGGAUAUAGUGUUCAAACAUCUCGAUUUGACAGAGAGGGAUUACUUUGGUUUACAGCUGGCUGACGAUUCCACUGAUAACCCAGUAAGUUGCAUCUGUUUUCUAAACCGUUUUUUUUUUUUUUGCAUG